GAGAUUAUAGCUCAGUGGUAGAGUGCAUGCCUAGCACACACAAGGUCCUGGGAUCAAUUCCCAGUAUCUCC
This 71-nucleotide transfer RNA is filed under the name Camelus bactrianus (Bactrian camel). It matches the Rfam family "tRNA". Rfam says of the family: Transfer RNA (tRNA) molecules are approximately 80 nucleotides in length. Their secondary structure includes four short double-helical elements and three loops (D, anti-codon, and T loops). Further hydrogen bonds mediate the characteristic L-shaped molecular structure. tRNAs have two regions of fundamental functional importance: the anti-codon, which is responsible for specific mRNA codon recognition, and the 3' end, to which the tRNAs corresponding amino acid is attached (by aminoacyl-tRNA synthetases). tRNAs cope with the degeneracy of the genetic code in two manners: having more than one tRNA (with a specific anti-codon) for a particular amino acid; and 'wobble' base-pairing, i.e. permitting non-standard base-pairing at the 3rd anti-codon position. The record is from Rfam by way of RNAcentral. RNAcentral also lists the same sequence under 2 other names. Lineage: Eukaryota; Metazoa; Chordata; Mammalia; Artiodactyla; Camelidae.